UGUCAGGGUGAGAGGCGACUCGUCAAUGAUCGUGUAGAGAAGGCGAGCCGUGCCGACACCUAGAUUAACGAACACAUUUUCUAAGGCGAGCGAGUCUGCCCUACUUUAGGUCGGCUUGCCCGCCAAUUUUUGGAAGUCCACUUUCCCUAGUGGGCUCACAAAAGCCACAUAACUAACGACUUAAAUUUUUUUACCUCAUUUGAGUUAUCUCCCUUAUAAUUAGUUUAGAUAAUAAUAAUAUACCAGUAGUUUCCAUAUACAUUUUUUUAAAUAAUAUUAUGUGCACAAAUUUUAUAAAUAAAAUAUAUUAAGAUAUUAAGAUUAUUUCGGUGUAAAUCUUGUAAAAUAUUUAAUCGAAAACAUCUCUAUUUUUUUUCUUUUUAUUAUAAAAUAAGCAAAGG
RNAcentral lists this long non-coding RNA (401 nucleotides) under Panax ginseng (ginseng). RNAcentral describes it as "long non-coding RNA (PGIN_LNC012195)". Lineage: Eukaryota; Viridiplantae; Streptophyta; Magnoliopsida; Apiales; Araliaceae. The record is from RNAcentral.